UUUGAUCAGAGUAUGAAUAUU
This is a non-coding RNA of Caenorhabditis elegans, 21 nucleotides long. NCBI's taxonomy places the organism in Eukaryota, Metazoa, Nematoda, Chromadorea, Rhabditida, Rhabditidae. The record is from Ensembl.